RNAcentral lists this ribosomal RNA (504 nucleotides) under uncultured Archangiaceae bacterium. RNAcentral describes it as "bacterial SSU rRNA". It matches the Rfam family "Bacterial small subunit ribosomal RNA", at positions 8 to 491 of the family's 1533-position model. The record is from RNAcentral. Lineage: Bacteria; Pseudomonadati; Myxococcota; Myxococcia; Myxococcales; Archangiaceae.
AGAGUUUGAUCAUGGCUCAGAACGAACGCUGGCGGCGUGCCUAAGACAUGCAAGUCGUGCGGAAAGGCUCCUUCGGGAGUACUCGAGCGGCGCACGGGUGAGUAACACGUGGGUAAUCUACCUGAGGGUCUGGGAUAACCCCGGGAAACUGGGGCUAAUACCGGAUGAGACCACGGCGUCCUCGGACGCAGCGGUCAAAGGUGGCCUCUCCUUGGAAGCUAUCGCCCGCAGAUGAGCCCGCGUCCCAUUAGCUAGUUGGCGGGGUAACGGCCCACCAAGGCGACGAUGGGUAGCUGGUCUGAGAGGAUGAUCAGCCACACUGGAACUGAGACACGGUCCAGACUCCUACGGGAGGCAGCAGUCGGGAAUUUUGGGCAAUGGGCGAAAGCCUGACCCAGCAACGCCGCGUGAGGGAUGAAGGCCUUCGGGUCGUAAACCCCUGUCGAGUGGGACGAAUAGCCCACGAUUGAAUAGGUCGUGGGAAUGACGGUACCGCUAAAGAGC